UCCGGUUUGUCACCGGCGGUCUCCUUAGAGUUCCCACCAUUACGUGCUGGCAACUAAGGACAAGGGUUGCGCUCGUUGCGGGACUUAACCCAACAUCUCACGACACGAGCUGACGACAACCAUGCACCACCUGUGCACGGCCCUUACGGACCCCGCAUCUCUGCGAGAUUUCCGUGCAUGUCAAGCCUAGGUAAGGUUCUUCGCGUUGCAUCGAAUUGAACCACAUGCUCCGCUGCUUGUGCGGGUCCCCGUCAAUUCCUUUGAGUUUUAGCCUUGCGGCCGUACUCCCCAGGCGGGGCACUUAAUGCGUUAGCUUCGGCACGGAGGACGUGGAAUGUCCCCCACACCUAGCGCCCAACGUUUACGGCGUGGACUAC
Molecule: unclassified non-coding RNA, 377 nt
Filed under: uncultured Actinomycetes bacterium
Lineage: Bacteria; Bacillati; Actinomycetota; Actinomycetes
Description: uncultured actinobacterium contains 16S-23S intergenic spacer region
Source: RNAcentral